UAGGGAAUAUUGCAAAAUGGGCGAAAGCCCGAUGCAGCAACGCCGCGUGGGCGAUGAAGGCCUUCGGGUCGUAAAGCCCUUUUUGAGGGGAUGAGGAAGGACAGUACCCUCAGAAUAAGCCUCGGCUAACUACGUGCCAGCAGCCGCGGUAAAACGUAGGAGGCGAGCGUUAUCCGGAUUUACUGGGUGUAAAGGGCGCGCAGGCGGGAUAAAAAGUCAGUGGUGAAAUCCUACAGCUUAACUGUAGAACUGCCUUUGAUACUUUUAUUCUUGAGUUCGGGAGAGNGAGACGGAAUUCCAGGUGUAGUGGUGAAAUACGUAGAUAUCUGGAAGAACACCAGUUGCGAAGGCGGUCUCUUGGUCCGACACUGACGCUGAGGCGCGAAAGCGUGGGGAGCAAACA
This 403-nucleotide ribosomal RNA is filed under the name uncultured bacterium. Its description in RNAcentral is "bacterial SSU rRNA". It matches the Rfam family "Bacterial small subunit ribosomal RNA", at positions 355 to 774 of the family's 1533-position model. The record is from RNAcentral.